AUCUCUUUGUAAAACCAUCUUGAAUCUUCUUUUUAUGAUCGAUCAUCUUUCCACAUGAUCUAUCACCGAAAAGUACAGUGUGUACUUGCAUAUUAUGCUUCUCCCUACUGUGGAUAGUUACUGGUGUGAUGAUUCAUCCCAAAAGCAGACGUCUGUGUAGAUGAUCAUUAUCAAAGGUAAAGCACUCAACUUUUUCUGUAAGUACUCCCUUUGACCCUUCCAUUCAAAGUAAAACCCUAGUUUUAUAUCAUUUUUAAAUACACACAUAGACGUUGAUUCAUGUAUAGUAUUGAUGUAUGUGUGUGUUUUUUAUUUUUUUUUUUACAACUUUCUGUAUUCUUUUAUGUGUGCAAACAACCGAAAUAUUAUUUGAAAGACCUAAAAAAGAUCUAUAAUUCACAUGGAACAUGACCUUCUUUCUGUUUUUUCUCUAAAAAAAUAUAUUAUGGUUUAAGAGUUAUUAUAUCUUGGAUAAAAUCCUUGGUUAAAUGCAUCAAGAAUAAAAAAAAUAUGUAUCAACAUGUUUUUAGAUUUUAACAUAACAUAAUCAAAUAAUAAUGAAAUCCAGUUUCAAACAACGAAACAUUUUCAACUGCUUGCCAAAAAAUUAAGCUUGUUUUUAGAUUUUUACGUAAUCCGUUUUGAGAUAAAUUAUGUGUGUUUGGAUUUAUAAAACCAUUAAUCUUAGUUAUUCAACAAUUUAUUUAUGUACGUAAUACUUAUGUUUUAUUAGUUUUUGGUUAUGAUGUUAGUUUUUGGUUAUGACUUACGAUGGAUAAAGUUUAAAACUUAUUUGGGAAUAUUUAAGAAAUAGAAGGUAUUAGACAAUAAAUCAAAAUCAACAUCCUCGGUGCCAGAAGAGAUUAAAGGAACUUGUAAGUCAUUGUUUAUUCGUGUAUGUCUUGUGGAGUUGUAGCUCGUAGUUUAUCCUUGUAUUGCUGCUUCUAGCUUCUUGCUAUAAGUGUUGUACUCGGUGGCGAAACUAGCCAAAAAAAAUUUUGAGGUAUCCUAAAAAAUUUUUUUGGGACCAAGGAUAUCCUUUGUGUAAUGAAGACGUAGUUAAGGAGUAUUUUUAUAUUACGGCGUCGAGUAGUAUUUUUAUGCUAAGACGGGGUUGAGCCGUAGUCCAUGCUCUCCCUACUAACACGUUUCUUAUCCACAAAAGUAAGUUAGCGAGUUUAAAUUCUUAGGGUUGUGCUUGUUAUCCAUAAAAGUAAGUUAGUGAGUUUAAAUUCUUAGGAUUAAGGGCAUAUUUGGCUAAGCUUUUUAAAACAAUUUAUUAACUUAUUGGCUUUUUGAAAAAGUGAGUAUGGAGUUACUUACUGACUUGUUGGCUUUUUCCUUUCUCAUACACCCUUAUUGCCAAAUCAUUUUGAAGCUUAUGAUUUUUCAAUAAGUCAAUAAGUUGUUUCAAAAAGCUUAGCCAAACAUGCCCUAAAUUGUCGUAAAAUUAAGUUCAGUUAAUAAACCUUGUUUCGGAAUAUUGAUUCCAAAGUAAAUAAUUCUGCUAUUUCGUCAUUAAAAAUAAUUUAAACGUAUAGCUGAUUUUAAUCCCAAGUUAGUUGUGUAAACCCUUAGAUUAUUUGAUGGAAAAGAUUGAAGAUCUACUAAAAAAUACUUUUUUUUAUAAUUUAAUAAAUAAGAUUUUUGGUGAUAAUCAUGAAAUGAUAGAACUAGUCUAUGUUUAACUUAUAAUUUUAAACUAGUUCUAAGAAUUCUCUGCUCGACACAUUAUACUAAUCAAAUAUUUUCUAUCAACGCCACUGUGAAUCACAAAAUUUGAGAUUAAACUAUAAUAUGUAAUUUGUAAAGACUGAUUUUAAAUUUUGUCGCAAUAUAUUAAAUAAUUAUUUGAUUUUAAUCAGUUAUUAAUUAAUGUGUGGGGUUCAGUUACAAAGUCUAUUUUUCGUACAUAGUGUACAAAGUCAUAAAACAUCACAAUUUCAGUUAAAACACACUCAAAACCUACAAAUAACUUGGUGAAGAUCAUUAAAACACAAUAUCCAAACUCUAACAGUCCUUAAGAGCUUCAAACAUGCUAUCGUAACACUAUGAAUAUAAAACACAAGAUAAUCAACAUAAAACACACUAAUGUUAGUCAUUCGAUAAUCAAAGCCUCAUCAUCCAAAACACAACAUAAAACCUACAAAUAUGGUGUUUUAGUUAUCUUUGCUAUGUUAUUUGUGGGUUGAGUGUGUUUUAUGAGUUUUUACACUUUAUAAGAAAAAUUGACUUUGUAGCAACUCUCACCCAUUAAUUAUGUAUUUGUUGAGAAAGUAGUUUAAUCGAAUAAAAUCGUAUAUAAUGAUGCAUUAAUUAAUUUGGUAUAUAAAACAAUGUUGGAUUCUUUUAACAUCUGAAGUUUAGAAAUAAUUUUUAGAUGGAAAAUAUGUUUAAAAAUGUUUUUUUGUUAAUAUAUAAUCUUAAAGAUAGAACCUGAACCAUGGCCUGUGAAAUUUAAUAUAUGCACAACUUAUUUGACACUUCCUGUAAAUAUUUUUACUUUUCAAGUGUUCACACUUGUAAAUGAGUGGAAUGGAAUUUAUUUACAUUUAUAAUCUUGAAAAAUAAAAGAAAGUUAGCGUAACUCUAAAAAUGCAAAAAUUAGCCUGCCAGGUGCUCUUUGUUUUUUAAAUGUAUUUUAAAAGAUAAUACGUCUGUAGUUUGCGGACUACAUCUGCAGAUAUGUGUAGAAGAAGAGGUAUGUCAAAUCUCUGCAGUGUACAAGAAGAAGAGUGUGUUUUUUUAACGCGUGAGAUAAUAUGUCUGCAGUUUGCGGACUAUAUCUGCCGGAGAAGAGGUGGACAUCGGCAGGAGAAGAGGUAGAUCAAACCUCUGCAAUCUGUAAGAAGAAGACUGUUUGUUUUUUCAACGUAUGUAGACUUCUAAAAUAAGCUGUUGGUGGUGUACGGACGGUGGUGGACGUGGGUGGGGUGGUGGACGUGGGUGGGGUGGUGGUGUUUAAUCCUUUGCAGUAUUUAGAAGAUCUUAGAUGUGGUUGGACCAAGUUUGCAACAAGAAGAACUCGUGCAGACGUUUUUUUAAUGAAAUGUCUUUAGAAAAACAAACAGUUUGCAGAUAACAAAAUCUGCGCGGCGAAGAUAAAAGAGUUUGUGCAUGUCGUUUUUAGAAAAUCUACGCAACCUAAGAGUUUGUUUUAAUAUGAGUUGAAAUAUGUUAAUUUGUUUGAAAUAGAUUAUUGACCAAAAUACUUAUAUAUGUUUGAAUUGAGAAUAACAUAGUGUU
This 3246-nucleotide long non-coding RNA is filed under the name Helianthus annuus (common sunflower). RNAcentral describes it as "hypothetical non coding rna". The record is from RNAcentral. Lineage: Eukaryota; Viridiplantae; Streptophyta; Magnoliopsida; Asterales; Asteraceae.